Molecule: ribosomal RNA, 372 nt
Filed under: uncultured organism
Description: bacterial SSU rRNA
Rfam family: Bacterial small subunit ribosomal RNA
Source: RNAcentral
CGUAGGGUGCGAGCGUUAAUCGGAAUUACUGGGCGUAAAGCGUGCGCAGGCGGUUUGCUAAGACAGGCGUGAAAUCCCCGGGCUUAACCUGGGAACUGCGUUUGUGACUGGCAGGCUAGAGUAUGGCAGAGGGGGGUGGAAUUCCACGUGUAGCAGUGAAAUGCGUAGAGAUGUGGAGGAACACCGAUGGCGAAGGCAGCCCCCUGGGCCAAUACUGACGCUCAUGCACGAAAGCGUGGGGAGCAAACAGGAUUAGAUACCCUGGUAGUCCACGCCCUAAACGAUGUCAACUAGGUGUUGGGUGGGUAAAACCAUUUAGUACCGGAGCUAACGCGUGAAGUUGACCGCCGUGGGGAGUACGGCCGCAAGGUU